CUCACCCAUCAAAAUCUCCCAGCCUCCCACUCCACUUAACCCCUCUCUCUGCCCCGCAAGUCGCAACCUCGGCGUCUCCGCUUGUCCUCCUCUGCAUCGAGAUAUAUCGGUUGAAGGUACUAAUAGACACCGGUGGAAGAGGAGUGGGUCGGGGCAACAAUCGGCGCCCGUGACUCCUUCUUUCUAGCGGUGUUAAGACUGGAGGGUAAAAUUCUUGCCGGUCGAAGCGGCGGACAUCCGGGCAACCUUCUUCUUAGCCAGGGGCUACAGAUGUCAGAGCAGUUCAGCAUCAAAACUUGAACAAGAAAAUUCUCAUUGCUCUUAUUGUUGCAUCUACCCUUCUUGGUGGAAUUCUGCGGUUGUUACUUGCUUAUGGGUUUACAGGUUGAGUAAACUGAAGAAAUCCAAUGAAAAAUUAUGUAUAAAGUUAUAAUUCAAUUCCCCCCUCAAAACUAUGUUCUGGAAUAUCCAUCAUUACUAGCAAUUUUAUGGAGGAAAAUGUUUUGGGAGAA
Long non-coding RNA from Ipomoea triloba (trilobed morning glory), 512 nucleotides. RefSeq lists it as uncharacterized. The record is from RefSeq and is a predicted model, not a curated record. The transcript has 2 exons. Lineage: Eukaryota; Viridiplantae; Streptophyta; Magnoliopsida; Solanales; Convolvulaceae.